GAUGAACGCUGGCGGCGUGCCUAAUACAUGCAAGUCGAGCGAACAGACGAGGAGCUUGCUCCUCUGACGUUAGCGGCGGACGGGUGAGUAACACGUGGAUAACCUACCUAUAAGACUGGGAUAACUUCGGGAAACCGGAGCUAAUACCGGAUAAUAUAUUGAACCGCAUGGUUCAAUAGUGAAAGACGGUUUUGCUGUCACUUAUAGAUGGAUCCGCGCCGCAUUAGCUAGUUGGUAAGGUAACGGCUUACCAAGGCAACGAUGCGUAGCCGACCUGAGAGGGUGAUCGGCCACUCUGGAACUGAGGCGCGGACCAGACUCCUACGGGUGGAAGCAGUAGGGAAUCUUCCGCAAUGGGCGAAAGCCUGACAGAACAGCGCCGCGUGAGUGAUGAAGGUCUUCGGAUCGUAAAACUCUGUUAUUAGUGAAGAACAAAUGUGUAAGUAUCUAUGCGCGUCUUGACGGUACCUAAUCAGAAAGCCACGGCUAACUACGUG
RNAcentral lists this ribosomal RNA (497 nucleotides) under uncultured bacterium. Its description in RNAcentral is "partial 16S ribosomal RNA". It matches the Rfam family "Bacterial small subunit ribosomal RNA", at positions 28 to 507 of the family's 1533-position model. The record is from RNAcentral.